Molecule: ribosomal RNA, 468 nt
Filed under: uncultured bacterium
Lineage: Bacteria
Description: partial 16S ribosomal RNA
Rfam family: Bacterial small subunit ribosomal RNA
Source: RNAcentral
GACGAACGCUGGCGGCGUGCUUAACACAUGCAAGUCGAACGGAAAGGCCCUGCUUUUGUGGGGUGCUCGAGUGGCGAACGGGUGAGUAACACGUGAGUAACCUGCCCUUGACUUUGGGAUAACUUCAGGAAACUGGGGCUAAUACCGGAUAGGAGCUCCUGCUGCAUGGUGGGGGUUGGAAAGUUUCGGCGGUUGGGGAUGGACUCGCGGCUUAUCAGCUUGUUGGUGGGGUAGUGGCUUACCAAGGCUUUGACGGGUAGCCGGCCUGAGAGGGUGACCGGCCACAUGGGGACUGAGAUACGGCCCAGGCUCCUACGGGAGGCAGCGGUGGGGAAUAUUGCACAGUGGGCCGAAGCCUGAUGCAGCAACGCCGCGUGCGGGAUGACGGCCUUCGAGUUGUAAACCGCUUUCGCCUGUGACGAAGCGUGAGUGACGGUAAUGAGUAAAGAAGCACCGGCUAACUACGUG